AACGAACGCUGGCGGCAGGCCUAACACAUGCAAGUCGAGCGCUCACGUCGGGGUGGGUGGCGGCCGGGUGAGUACCGCGUGGGAACGUGCCCUUUUCUACGCAAUAGCGUCGGGAAACUGAGAGUAAUAUCGUCUACGCCCUCUGGCGGUCAGAGUUUUCGGAGAAGGAACGGCGCGCGUUGGAUCGGGUAGUUGGGGGGGUAAUGGCGUACCAAGCCGACGUUCCAUAGCUGGUGUGAGAGGAUGAUCAGCAACACUGGGACUGAGACGCGGCCCAGACUCCUACGGGAGGGAGCAAUGGGGAAUCUUAGACAAUGGCGGCAAGCCUGAUCUAGCCAGGCCGCGUGAGUGAUGAAGGCCGGAGGGUAGUAAAGCUCUUUAAUCUAGGAAGAUAAUGACGGUACCGGAAGAAGAAGCCCCGGCUAACUACGUG
RNAcentral lists this ribosomal RNA (433 nucleotides) under uncultured bacterium. RNAcentral's name for it is "partial 16S ribosomal RNA". It matches the Rfam family "Bacterial small subunit ribosomal RNA", at positions 29 to 507 of the family's 1533-position model. The record is from RNAcentral.